Molecule: ribosomal RNA, 523 nt
Filed under: uncultured Lysobacteraceae bacterium
Lineage: Bacteria; Pseudomonadati; Pseudomonadota; Gammaproteobacteria; Lysobacterales; Lysobacteraceae
Description: bacterial SSU rRNA
Rfam family: Bacterial small subunit ribosomal RNA
Source: RNAcentral
AGAGUUUGAUCCUGGCUCAGAGUGAACGCUGGCGGCAGGCCUAACACAUGCAAGUCGAGCGGCAGCGCGGGGGCAACCCUGGCGGCGAGCGGCGGACGGGUGAGGAAUUCGUCGGAAUCUGCCUUUUUGUGGGGGAUAACGUAGGGAAACUUACGCUAAUACCGCAUACGACCUACGGGUGAAAGUGGGGGACCUUCGGGCCUCACGCAGAAAGAUGAGCCGACGACCGAUUAGCUAGUUGGUGGGGUAAAGGCCCACCAAGGCGACGAUCGGUAGCUGGUCUGAGAGGAUGAUCAGCCACACUGGGACUGAGACACGGCCCAGACUCCUACGGGAGGCAGCAGUGGGGAAUAUUGGACAAUGGGCGCAAGCCUGAUCCAGCCAUGCCGCGUGUGUGAAGAAGGCCUUCGGGUUGUAAAGCACUUUUGUUCGGGAAGAAAUCUUGCAGUUUAAUACGCUGCGAGGCUGACGGUACCGGAAGAAUAAGCACCGGCUAACUUCGUGCCAGCCGCCGCGGUAAUAC